Anolis carolinensis (green anole) is the source of this 1931-nucleotide long non-coding RNA. The record is from Ensembl. NCBI's taxonomy places the organism in Eukaryota, Metazoa, Chordata, Lepidosauria, Squamata, Anolidae.
UAACUUCUAGAAGUGAUGCACUGAUUGGGUGCUAACCACAUACAUCAAACGAACAAGUUUGAUCUGAAUGAGUCAUUCAGUGUUGGAAAGAACCAUAAGAAAAAUAGCAAAGAUGUGACUGUGUUAAUGGAGAAGAGGCAUUUGCAGCAGAUGGCUUAGAGGAUCUCCGCAAAAUCGAAACUGAAAGUCUGUGGCUUCUGUUCCAUAUUACAACGAUAUUUCCACUUCCAUAAAGAUGUCAACAAAAACAUUUCUGCAUGAAUCACAUUCUCCUGUACCAUAUAUAAAGUUGGCACAAAGUUUGAAUGAGGUCAAGUGACUUAGUAAGAACUGGAAGUGAAAAAACUUUUGCAUACAAAGAGGAAAGUUAUAUGAAUUGCCACCCUUUCAUGUCUGCCCCCUUCUACCCUAUCAGCUAUCUGAGGCAGUGACUUCAUUCUACUUAAUGGUAGGUCUGGCUCCUAAAAAGGUCAUGAUAUAUUUUUCUAAAGUUCUUCUUUAAUGUGGUUUCUUUGUUUCUGUAAUCAUACAAAUGCCUAUACUUAGCUUACAAAAUGACUAUGCUGUGUUUAUCAUACUAUCAUUUGGUGCCUAUUUGGGAACCAAGUCAGAUUGUACUUCCAGCUCUGGCAAGCCUUGUCAUUCAUCUGAAUGAGUUUAGUAAAGGUAAAAGUUUCCCCCUGACAUUAAGUCUAGUUGUGUCUGACUCUGGGGGUUGGUGCUCAUCUCCAUUUCUAAGCCGAAGAGCCACAUGACCUUGGAGGUGUCUAUGGACAACGCCGGCUCUUCGGCUUAGAAAUGGAGAUGAGCACCAACCCCCAGAGUCAGACAUGACUGGACUUAACGUCAGGGGAAACCUUUACUUUUAUCUCAGAUGGCUACUGGGUACAAAAAAACAAAACAUUCCUGCUCUUUUUCAAAAGGGGUACGUGCCACAGCAGAGCUGAUGUGGGGUCUAAUUUAGGUUGAGCCAAGAGUGGAAUUGUCCAGCAAGGAAUGACAUAGUUCUGUCAGGAAGAUGGGAUGGGACAGAAAUAAAGAUUUAUUAUUAUGUAGUAACUCUCUUUGCCAUCAUCUUCAGAAUGGUGCCUGGACAGUAAGGUGAGUUUACUUCCAUUGCAAAUUAGCUAUAUUCAUCCCAUGUAUUGCUUUGUGUCUUUAUUUGGAUUGUUGAAAAAGCCUCAACAACAGAGAAGGGAAAUAAGUAGACCUUCAAUGUUGCUGGAGUGUAAUUCCAAAUAGCCCUGAUCAGCUCAGCCAACUGUGAGCACUAAUGGGAGUUGUAGUACUACAAAAUAUGGAGGCCACAAGUUGUCCCUUGUUGUGGUACAGUGAUUAGAGUCCUAGGGUUCAUUUACAUCAGUGAUUCCCAAAGUGGGCGCUACUGCUCCCUGGUGGGUGCUGGAGCGAUCCAGGAGGGCAGUGAUGGCACCUAUUAGGACACGGGGUGGGGCCAGAGGAGGAGUAGGGCCUCUUCCCAAGUGCCGGAGACAGGGCUGAGCACCUGACGCACCUGUUAAGACACGCAGGGGGUGUACCUAGAGGAGUGGGUAUGGCUUCUUCCCUUCUAUACUUCUCCUGAGGCGCUUGUUGGAACACAGAGGGCGGAGCUAGGGAAGGGGGCGGGGCCUCCUUCCAAGAGCCUGAGACAGGGCUGAGCCUCUAUACCUCCUGAGAGGCUUUUUAGGACUAAAGGUCGGGGCUAGGGGUGGGGGCGAGGUCUCUUCCCAAGAGCGCGAGACAGGGCUGAGCCUCUGUAUACCUCCCCUGAGGCGCUUGUUAGAACAUGGGGGCGGGGUAUAGAGGUUCAGCCCCAUCAGGCACUUGAUAAGAGGCCCCACCCCCUUCUCUAGCCUUGCCUCCUGUGUCCUGGCAGGUGCCGCAGGACAGGGAUAGAAGCUCAGCCCUGCCUCAGAGCUUGUAACUUUGCC